RNAcentral lists this ribosomal RNA (253 nucleotides) under uncultured bacterium. RNAcentral's name for it is "partial 16S ribosomal RNA". It matches the Rfam family "Bacterial small subunit ribosomal RNA", at positions 524 to 776 of the family's 1533-position model. The record is from RNAcentral.
UACAGAGGUCCCGAGCGUUGUUCGGAUUCACUGGGCGUAAAGGGUGCGUAGGUGGCAGGGUAAGUUUGAUGUGAAAUCUCCAAGCUUAACUUGGAAACUGCAUUGAAUACUAUCCUGCUCGAGGGUUGGAAGGGGGACUGGAAUUCUCGGUGUAGCAGUGAAAUGCGUAGAUAUCGAGAGGAACACCAGUGGCGAAGGCGAGUCCCUGGACAACACCUGACACUGAGGCACGAAAGCUAGGGGAGCAAACAGG